GCCCUCUCAGGAUUGCACCUGGAGAGUUUCCAGGACUCUACCGGUCUCGACUACGGAAGGGAGAGUCAAGCAGACGCAUCCCCAUUCCAUUCCUAACUUGGACAGUGGCUAGCGAGUAGAAGGCAAUCUGCUGCAAGU
Ornithorhynchus anatinus (platypus) is the source of this 138-nucleotide non-coding RNA. Lineage: Eukaryota; Metazoa; Chordata; Mammalia; Monotremata; Ornithorhynchidae. The record is from Rfam.